CCUGAGAGAAAUUUUAUGUAUAGCACGAUGGAGGAGGCGCAACGACCCACUACUCUAGGCCAACCUUUUAUAUCGCACAGACUAAACUAGGGCCUUUUCCAUUAAGAAGAGAUCACAAUUGGUGAAGUUUACAAAAUAAGCCGAAAACGAUGCCACGUUUUAUUGCUACCGGUUCACUUAUUCCACCGGUUAACUCCGGCUAUCUUAUUUUAAUAUCGGUUAUUCCAAUUUCCGGUUUAAAAUCCCUAAUUGUGUGUAAACCGGUUUGGUAUGCCUAAACGGUUUCCACUUCACGUUAUAUGUAAUGGCCACCGCUAAACAUCAACAUCAAUAUCAAUGAAGAUUUGAUUCUCUUUUUCACCUUUCUCUCUCUAUGACUGCGUAACAACCUCCUGAUCAUUCCUCCAUUGGUCGAUCUUCGAAGGUCAUGUUCUUCACAUACUCGCUUCCAGGUCUUUGAUUUCUUCUCUGAAACCGGAUUCACACUGAGAUAUGUAGCCCCAACAUUGUCGUAGUAAAUAACAGGAGCUUUGGGAAGCUGAAUAUGUAGUUCUGUUAACAAGUUGCAGACCCAUCUCAAUUCUGCAGCGGCAUUUGCUAUUGCUCGAUACUCAGCUUCCGCAGGGGAUAACGUUGGAGAAUUAAGGAAAGAGCUGGCUAUGAUUCAACAGAGGUUUCAGUUGAGUCUGCCUCAAGAAAGCUAUUUUUUUUACAUAUACAAACAGAAUGUAAUGGAUGAUGACCGGUCAUUCCGGUAGCACCGUGUUGAUCACGGCGACACAAUUGAGAUUUUCAGCGGAAGUGUUUCCGGUGGCUCUUAAUACCCUCAGAUUCUUUCAAUUCUUUAGCUAAUUGUUUAAGAUCAAAUGUCUUCAGUAAGAUCUCAAAUCUUUGCCAGGUACAAGCAUAAAGAGUUGACAAAAGGGAAGCAUAGGAUGCUGUGUGAUCACAUGUGAAGGAACGAGAUCUAAAAGAGGAAAUGGCCGUUUGGUGUAAGAGAGUCAAGCUUACUCUAUUGGGUAAAUGUUGGGAAGCUCUCCAUCAUGUCACUUUCUCUUAUGGCCGUUAACCUUUAUCUCUCUUUCUCUAGUAUCAACACUUAACCUAGAAUCCCUUAUUAUGUAACCGAGAAUAUCAAAUGAAAAACAAUGAGUUCUUGCAAAAUAUUAUCUCUA
Long non-coding RNA from Arabidopsis lyrata subsp. lyrata, 1175 nucleotides. RefSeq lists it as uncharacterized. Lineage: Eukaryota; Viridiplantae; Streptophyta; Magnoliopsida; Brassicales; Brassicaceae. The transcript is spliced from 2 exons. The record is from RefSeq and is a predicted model, not a curated record.